RNAcentral lists this unclassified non-coding RNA (534 nucleotides) under Hevea brasiliensis (rubber tree). Lineage: Eukaryota; Viridiplantae; Streptophyta; Magnoliopsida; Malpighiales; Euphorbiaceae. The record is from RNAcentral.
AAACUCCAUUCCUACAGCAGCACCAACAGAGAGAGCAAAUGUACCCAACAUUUCGGUUACAGGAACUUCUCCUCCCUCCAUUUGCCACGAAAAUCUGUAAUAAACAGCCAUAACAGCCAUAGAAGUAAUCCCAAAACUAGACAUUAUAGCAGCCACAAGAUAAGUAAACCUCUCCGAUUUCUUCCUAGCCAGUUUCUCCGCCAAGCGAGUAGCUAAGAUCUGUUCCUCAAUCUUCUUUUCAAAAUCCUCAGCCUCAUCGUCAAAUUGAGGUUUCAGCUUCUCAUCCUCGAGAACAAAGCAAACAGUGAAACUGGGUUUUCUUCUAGACCUCAAAAUUGGGCCUAGAUUAAGAGAAAAAGGAGAGAUUGGAGAAACAUGUGAGGUUGUCGAAGUAGGUUUUGGGCCAAGAAACGGUGAAUGACGGAAAUAAAAAGUUCGUGAGGUAGAGGAGGCGGAGAUUCUGGCGGCGGCAGCCAUUGAUUGUGGAGAUGACCAAUUUAGACUCUCUCUCAGAGAGGGUGAUGGCAGUUAAAG